CCUACGGGAGGCAGCAGUGAGGAAUAUUGGUCAAUGGGCGCGAGCCUGAACCAGCCAAGCAGCGUGAAUGAUGACUGCCCUACGGGUUGUAAACUUCUUUUAUAAAGGAAUAAAGUGAGGCACGUGUGCCUGUUUGUAUGUACUUUAUGAAUAAGGAUCGGCUAACUCCGUGCCAGCAGCCGCGGUAAUACGGAGGAUCCGAGCGUUAUCCGGAUUUAUGGGGUUUAACGGGAGCGUAGAUGGGUUGUUAAGUUAGUUGUGAAAGUUUGCGGCUCAACCGUAAAAUUGCAAUUGAUACUGGCAGUCUUGAGUACAGUUGAGGUAGGUGGAAUUCGUGGUGUAGCGGUGAAAUGCUUAGAUAUCACGAAGAACUCCGAUGGCGAAGGCAGCUUACUAAACUGCCACUGACAUUGAUGCUCGAAAGUGUGGGUAGCAAACAGGAUUAGAUACCCCUGUAGUC
RNAcentral lists this ribosomal RNA (460 nucleotides) under uncultured bacterium. RNAcentral describes it as "partial 16S ribosomal RNA". It matches the Rfam family "Bacterial small subunit ribosomal RNA", at positions 338 to 795 of the family's 1533-position model. The record is from RNAcentral.